This 491-nucleotide ribosomal RNA is filed under the name uncultured bacterium. RNAcentral describes it as "partial 16S ribosomal RNA". It matches the Rfam family "Bacterial small subunit ribosomal RNA", at positions 29 to 506 of the family's 1533-position model. The record is from RNAcentral.
AGUGAACGCUGGCGGUAGGCCUAACACAUGCAAGUCGAACGGCAGCACAGUAAGAGCUUGCCCUUACGGGUGGCGAGUGGCGGACGGGUGAGGAAUACAUCGGAAUCUACUUUUUCGUGGGGGAUAACGUAGGGAAACUUACGCUAAUACCGCAUACGACCUACGGGUGAAAGCAGGGGAUCUUCGGACCUUGCGCGAUUGAAUGAGCCGAUGUCGGAUUAGCUAGUUGGCGGGGUAAAGGCCCACCAAGGCGACGAUCCGUAGCUGGUCUGAGAGGAUGAUCAGCCACACUGGAACUGAGACACGGUCCAGACUCCUACGGGAGGCAGCAGUGGGGAAUAUUGGACAAUGGGCGCAAGCCUGAUCCAGCCAUACCGCGUGGGUGAAGAAGGCCUUCGGGUUGUAAAGCCCUUUUGUUGGGAAAGAAAAGCAGCAGGUUAAUACCCCGCUGUUCGGACGGUACCCAAAGAAUAAGCACCGGCUAACUUCGU